This is a long non-coding RNA of Lathyrus oleraceus (garden pea), 751 nucleotides long. RefSeq lists it as uncharacterized. The record is from RefSeq and is a predicted model, not a curated record. Lineage: Eukaryota; Viridiplantae; Streptophyta; Magnoliopsida; Fabales; Fabaceae. The transcript is spliced from 2 exons.
CCUGCUGAAAAUUAAGGGGGAGGGGCGCCCCAUGUGUUGGCAGAAAAGGCCAACAACCUUGCGACACGUGGCAAAUGAGCUUGGAUAUAAAAAAAGAAACCAAAUACCCAGCAAGUAUCUCGUUCUCCCCCUAUCGUUUUUCCAUUUCUUUCUUUAUAACAGCAAAAAAUUAAUCUUCUCUCAAACUUUUUUCUUUCUUCAAACCCAAAUCAAGUCCCUCACUCAACAAGAAGCAUCCUGCAAACAUGAACAAAAGACAUCAUUGAGACAAAGGGGAAAACAAAAAAGUCGGUGCAGUGGUUAUCGCGAUCGGAUUGGAGAUGGAGGGGUGCAGACGCCGGGAUGGACACGUGGAUUCGUGGGGAGGCGUGGUUCCUUGCGGUGGUGUUCGUCGUCUUCCGGCAACAGAGGAGAGGAGCUCGCGGUUGACGCGGCUGAGGGGUGAUGUGGUGGUCCGAGCGGCGGUUCACGUAUGAUUCCGGCGCGGUUUCGGUUUUGUUAUGGAUUUUGCUGGUAAAAAAUAUGGAGAUGAGAUAUGUCGGGAGGUUUUUUACAGUGUAAUUGUGUGUACGUGCAUAUGGAUGUCCCUCCCAUGAUUUUUUCUUCUGAAUUUAUAUGCUCGCCUUUAGUUUGGAAUUGAGUUUUGGAUCUCACCUAGGAAGUUCAAAUUGUAACUACACAAUAUGUAAAGACCAAAUGAGUUUCUUCUAUUUUGAUUUGAUCUUAUGGAAAUUUGGGAGAUAAUUUGAAA